Molecule: ribosomal RNA, 469 nt
Filed under: uncultured bacterium
Lineage: Bacteria
Description: bacterial SSU rRNA
Rfam family: Bacterial small subunit ribosomal RNA
Source: RNAcentral
AGGACGAACGCUGGCGGCGUAGCUUAACACAGUGCAAGUCGAACGGUAAGGCCCUUCGGGGUACACGAGUGGCGAACGGGUGAGUAACACGUGGGUGAUCUGCCCUGCACUUCGGGAUAAGCUUGGGAAACUGGGUCUAAUACCGGAUAGGACCACGGUCUGCAUGGAUUGUGGUGGAAAGCUUUUGCGGUGUGGGAUGGGCCCGCGGGCCUAUCAGCUUGUUGUGGGGUGAUGGCCUACCAAGGCGACGACGGGUAGCCGGCCUUGAGAGGGGUGUCCGGGCCACACUGGGACUGAGAUACGGCCCAGACUCCUACGGGAGGCAGCAGUGGGGAAUAUUGCACAAUGGGCGCAAGCCUGAUGCAGCGACGCCGCGUGGGGAUGACGGCCUUCGGGUUGUAAACCUCUUUACAGUAGGGACGAAGCGUAAGUGACGGUACCUAUAGAAGAAGCACCGGCCAACUACGUG